RNAcentral lists this ribosomal RNA (656 nucleotides) under Chapsa pulchra. Its description in RNAcentral is "SSU rRNA". It matches the Rfam family "Bacterial small subunit ribosomal RNA", at positions 403 to 1206 of the family's 1533-position model. Lineage: Eukaryota; Fungi; Ascomycota; Lecanoromycetes; Ostropales; Graphidaceae. The record is from RNAcentral.
UGGUAAAAUGUAUAUGAGAUUAACUAAGUUAAUUAAAAUUCAAAGUAGAUUUUGAUUAUGACAGAAUUUGCUUAUGUCUUGACCAAGUCACGUGCCAGCAGUCGCGGUAAUACGUGGAAGAUAAGCGUUAUUCAUGUUCAACAGGUUUAAAGGGUACCUAGACGGUUAAUUAAACGUAAAAAUGAAUUAAUUAACUAGAGUUUAAUGUAAGAAAGAUUGAGUACGGUGAGUGUAGUGAUAAAAUACUGUCUUCGGAACUGGUAAAGGCGAAGGCCACUUUCUAUGUAAAAACUGACGUUAAGGGACGAAGGCUCGUAUCCAAAAAACAGGAUUAGAUACCCUGGUAUUUCGGGCAGAAAAUGAUGAGUGUCAUAUGCAAGUUUGUGUAUAAAUGAAAGUGUAAGCACUCCACCUCAAGAGUAACGUGGCAACAUGGGAACUGAAAUCAUUAGACCGUUUCUGAAACUCGUAGUGAAGUAUGUUGUUUAAUUUGAUAACCCACAAACAACCUUACCACACAAGCGUUGCACGGCUGUCUUCAGUCAUUGUUGUGAAACUAUGGUUAAAUCCAUCUAAUAGACGUAAACCCUUGCUUUAAAGUAGUCCCCUAUAGGUAGUGAUAUAAGGGACUAGGACAAGUCAUCAUGACCUGAAUA